GUAGGUGGCAAGCGUUGUCCGGAAUUAUUGGGCGUAAAGCGCGCGCAGGUGGGUCUUUAAGUCUGAUGUGAAAGCCCCCGGGCUCAACCGGGGGAGGGUCAUUGGAAACUGGGGAACUUGAGUGCAGGAGAGGAAAGUGGAAUUCCACGUGUAGCGGUGAAAUGCGUAGAUAUGUGGAGGAACACCAGUGGCGAAGGCGACUUUCUGGCCUGUAACUGACACUGAGGCGCGAAAGCGUGGGGAGCAAACAGGAUUAGAUACCCUGGUAGUCCACGCCGUAAACGAUGAGUGCUAAGUGUUGGGGGGUUUCCGCCCCUCAGUGCUGCAGCUAACGCAUUAAGCACUCCGCCUGGGGAGUACGGUCGCAAGACUG
This 373-nucleotide ribosomal RNA is filed under the name uncultured organism. RNAcentral's name for it is "partial 16S ribosomal RNA". It matches the Rfam family "Bacterial small subunit ribosomal RNA", at positions 527 to 896 of the family's 1533-position model. The record is from RNAcentral.